AGAGAGUUGGCUCAGCGGUUAAGAGCACUGGCAGCUCUUCCAGACAGCCCAGGUUCAAUUCCAGCACUCUCAU
Molecule: non-coding RNA, 73 nt
Organism: Cricetulus griseus (Chinese hamster)
Lineage: Eukaryota; Metazoa; Chordata; Mammalia; Rodentia; Cricetidae
Source: Rfam